RNAcentral lists this ribosomal RNA (439 nucleotides) under uncultured Verrucomicrobiota bacterium. Its description in RNAcentral is "bacterial SSU rRNA". It matches the Rfam family "Bacterial small subunit ribosomal RNA", at positions 958 to 1392 of the family's 1533-position model. Lineage: Bacteria; Pseudomonadati; Verrucomicrobiota. The record is from RNAcentral.
AACGCGAAGAACCUUACCUACCCUUGACAUGUCCAGUAUGGUCACCAGAGAUGGAGUCCUUCAGUUCGGCUGGCUGGAACACAGGUGCUGCAUGGCUGUCGUCAGCUCGUGUCGUGAGAUGUUGGGUUAAGUUCCGCAACGAGCGCAACCCCUGUGAUUUGUUGCCACCCGGUUUACCGGCGCACUCGAAUCAGACUGCCUCGAUCAACGAGGAGGAAGGUGGGGAUGACGUCAAGUCCGUAUGGCCCUUACGACCAGGGCUGCACACGUACUACAAUGCUCAGCACAAUGUGACCCGAUACCGCGAGGUGGAGGCAAUCCUCAAAACUGAGCUCAGUUCAGAUUGGAGUCUGCAACUCGACUCCAUGAAGUUGGAAUCGCUAGUAAUGGUGCAUCAGCUACGGCACCGUGAAUACGUUCCCGGGUCUUGUACACACCG